GAUCAUGGCUCAGGAUGAACGCUGGCGGCGUGCCUAACACAUGCAAGUCGAACGAAGCACUUUAUUAUGAUUUCUUCGGAAUGACGAUUUGGUCACUGAGUGGCGGACGGGUGAGUAACGCGUGGAUAACCUGCCCCAUACAGGGGGAUAACAGUUAGAAAUGACUGCUAAUACCGCAUAAGCGCACAGUAUCGCAUGAUACAGUGUGAAAAACUCCGGUGGUAUGGGA
This 229-nucleotide ribosomal RNA is filed under the name uncultured bacterium. RNAcentral describes it as "partial 16S ribosomal RNA". It matches the Rfam family "Bacterial small subunit ribosomal RNA", at positions 15 to 225 of the family's 1533-position model. The record is from RNAcentral.